UAAUUAAUUAACUUUAAUAGCAAUAAAUUUAAUAAUUAUUAUAUUAACUUAAAACCAACAGGUCGAAUGUAUGUAUUAUUGACAGCGCAAAAAAUUCAAAGAGCCGAUUAUUGACAUACCAUUGACCCUAUUAUUGACAGGUCUUUUAUUACAGUUAAAUUUAUAUUAACAAUAAUCAUUUUUACUAACUAAUGCAAAACUAUUAAUAAUUUUUACCAAUUUUUUCUAGUCUCAAAUACUUCGAUUCUUAUUAAAUCACAUGACAGUAUGUAAACAU
This is a long non-coding RNA of Cotesia glomerata, 277 nucleotides long. RefSeq lists it as uncharacterized. The record is from RefSeq and is a predicted model, not a curated record. Lineage: Eukaryota; Metazoa; Arthropoda; Insecta; Hymenoptera; Braconidae. The transcript is spliced from 3 exons.